RNAcentral lists this long non-coding RNA (2723 nucleotides) under Piliocolobus tephrosceles (Ugandan red Colobus). Its description in RNAcentral is "lncRNA (ENSPTEG00000007994.1)". The record is from RNAcentral. Lineage: Eukaryota; Metazoa; Chordata; Mammalia; Primates; Cercopithecidae.
AUUGAACUAAAAACAAAAAGCAAUGUAAAAAAAUAUAAUAUGGUCUAAAAGUGAAUAGCAUUAUUCAUGAUUAAACCUAAAAACAAUGCAACGCCCAAAUCAAAUUCCACUAUUAGAAGAACCAUGUGUUGAGCAUAUUAAUAAUAGUAUUGAAAAUAGUAAAUUGGUGCUAUGUAUAUGUCUUAGUGAAAAGGAAUUAUCAUCGUUAGUAAGUCCCUCCUGUUUUUAUUUACAUGUCUAUCGGUAUAUGUAUUUGUAUAAUCUUAUUCCCAAGUGCUUAGAAUAUUUCAGAUCGUUUCUUCUUCCUUUUUAUGGUCGUAAAAUUGGGUUGUAUUUUGAGUGUGUCAACAAUAAAAGGGAAAAUAAAGGGGUUCAAAAUGAAAUUCAAAAUGAAAGUUUGUAUGGUGCAGUAAUUGGUAGUGGUAGUGUUAGUAGUAGUUGUAGUAAUAGUGAUAAACAAACCACUGACAAUAACAAAUUAGAAAAUAAAUACUUUAAAGAAAUAGCAAACGAAGAAACAAUACUACUUGAUUGGAGAUUACCUAUAGGAGUACUAUUUGAUAUAUAUUGUGAUGUGGAAGAUAAUAGUUUUAGUUUUCUUGAAAUUGAAAAAGAAGCUGAACAUGAUUGGAGAUUAUGUUUAAACAAUUAUGAAUUAUUUCCUGAAUAUGUUAAUAUUUUAAAAGUGGAAUCAGAUAAAAAUGAAGACUAUGUUCAUAAUUUAAAAGUAACUAACGAUAAUAAGAAAAACAAGAAUAAGUCGUUAAGUAAUCCUAGCGAUGCAGAUUCAUUUGAGCAUAGCUUAAAAUCUGAGGAAGUUUCGAAUAAUACACGAGACAGUUCCAUUACUGGAAACAUAAAUAAUUAUAGCAAGAGUUACAACGAUACAAAAAUAUAUAAUUAUAAUAGUAGUCGUAGUGAUAGUUACCAUACUAAUAUCAAAAGCGAAGCGAAUAGCUACGUAAAUGUAGUCGAUCUUCCUAUUAAAGAACCUGAACAUGUCAGAAAAAAAAAAAAUAACGCAUCAGAUGAUUCAGACACUCAUUUACCAAGCGUAAAAGAAAUGCAUAAUGAAGCAAAAAACGAACAACAUACAGGAAAUACAAAAUGGUAUACACUUAUACCGGCUAAACAUAUAAAUAAUGAUUGGCUUGAAAAACAGUUUUUAAAAAUAUCGAGUAAAAACAUACCUUGGAAGAUUAUAGUCCAUAUUAAAAAGGAAGAGGAUAAGGAAAGAGAGGGUGGAGGGGGGAAAACAAAUGUAGAAAAAGCAAAUGUAGAAAAAGCAAAUGUAGAAAAAGCAAAUGUCGAAAAGGGUGUAAAAAGAGGAGUUAACAAAACAGAUAAGCACGAAGACAACCGAAACGACAAAAUAUUAACUAUACAAACAAAAUGUCAUGAUUUGAAAAAAGAAAAGAACAAUUGCAUAUUAUUAUACACAUGCUUCAAUGAUAUAGAAGAUCAUAUACUAAAUCAGUUGAAAAGAGCAAAUUAUAUUUUACAUAAAAAUAAUAGAAUAUUAAAUAUAUUACCAUCAGAAAUAGAGAAACAAAUUUUAUUUUAUUUAAAAAUUUUUAACAUUAAUAAAAUAUGUGCUUUAUAUAGAACACAUUUGGAUUAUAACCUGAUCAAAUUUAUUAAUUAUUUUAACUGUAAGUUUAGUACAAGCGAUGACGAUGUUUGUGAUAAUAUAUAUGAGGGGUGUGUCUACGUGGGUGGUAUAACUAGCCAAAAGGAAAAACGAACAAGAGGGUGUAUAAAUGAUAAGGAAAGCAAUGAAAAUAGAAAAAAAAUAGAUGAAGAUAGUUGUUUAAGAGGGCGUACAAUAAAAGGUGAUAGUACUAAUUUCGAAGGUUACACAAGUAGAAAGAAUGGAAGUAGUAGCAAAAACGGAGGUAGUGACAGCGGAGGUAGCAAAAACGGAAGCACCAAUUUAAAUAAUGAAAAAAAAAAAAUACACGAACAUGCGUUUCACACACAAAAAAAUAAUUAUAGUCCUAAAAUAAACAAUGAUAAGUAUAAUAUUAUGAAAGAUGAAAAAUUGUUUAAAUACAUACCAAUUAUUAUGCAUAUAUAUGGACCACCAUAUAAUAAAGUACAAACAAAAUUUCCUUUAUUUGAAAUAAAAUAUGAAAACAAUAAAUCUAAUGUUAUAACAAGUAUUCAUGUAAACACUUUAGGUGAUUUUUUACAUCAACAAUUUCCUGAGUUUGUAAAAGUUGUAAAAGAUAAAUUAUGUAUGUUGAAAAAACAAAAUGUGAGUAAAGGUGAACAUGAGGAAAUGAUAGGAGCGGAUGACACGGAAAGAAUAAAAAAAUAUCCAAUAGACAAAGUAGUUACUUUUCCUCCUUCACAAACUAAUAAACAGAACUUGAUAAUAUUAAAAGAAAAUGAACAGAAUAUAAAUAGUAUAUCGUUAAUAAAAACAGAAAACGAUGUUACUAAUAAACAUAUGAAUCCAGAAAUUAAUAAAAAAAUGUAUAACUAUUUAAAAAAUGAAAAGGUUUUUUAUUUUUUCGAAAAUGAUUAUUUAAUUUUUAGCGCUUAUAUGUUUAUUAUCAUAAAUGGUAUACAAAUUCCUUUAAAAACUCCACUAUACUGGUUAACAUCGAAUUUUACUCAGUUCGAUAAUUUUCUUCAUAUAAUUAUGCGUAUACCCCCUUAUUAAUUGUGUGUUAAGUUAGUCGAAUAAAUUGUGUGUAUAUAAUACUGCUUUGGGGAUA